Molecule: long non-coding RNA, 973 nt
Organism: Zea mays
Lineage: Eukaryota; Viridiplantae; Streptophyta; Magnoliopsida; Poales; Poaceae
Exons: 4
Source: RefSeq, a predicted model, not a curated record
CAAUCCAUGGUCAUAUGUUAUCCCCUCCUCGAGCUAAACGACCACCCUUCCUGCGCUCCAAACCCUAGGUCUAGUCGCAGCAGGUGGAUCUCGGCCUCUCACACUGCCAUGGCCUCGCAGCACCCACAACCAUAGUCCCUCUGCACGCGCGUCCCCGAUGCCACCCUCGCUUCCAUCUCCACCUUCCACUAUCCCCUUUGUACCAUCGACCUCUCCCUCUUCCGUGGGUUCCGCCUCCACUACACCAGCUGUGUAUAGAGCUGCCCCACCUGCCCCACGCCGCGUCGUCACCACGUUGGGAGGGGUGCAUCCGUCGCCUCUAAUCCAAAUAAGGAGGAGCUGCGGCCAGACACGAGUAGCAGAGUAGUAUCUGGAUCCGCUGAACACCCACCUGUGGUAUCUAGCUUUCCUAUCAAAGGUACUAUGUGACAUCUCGUCUACUCAUGAACUUCCUGGGACUGAAAUAGUGGGUCAUAUUGAUGCCUUUAUUGCUAUGAUGGCACAUACACAUGUAAUUGCAAAUGGGCCAAUCAGCUGAUGUUCUUGUUGCUGCCAAAACAACAACAGAAGUUUCAAUGAGGGUUGUGUGACCUAAGACGAAGUUUCAGUACCUAGGAUGAAGUUUCAGAGCUAUCAGCUGAUUUCAGUUUUAGAGUUGCAGAUUUUCAGUAUUAGAGCUGCCAGAUUUCAGUUUUAGAGUUGCAAAUUCCGUUUUUAGAGCUACUCUAUGAAUCCACACUUCAUUCUAUUUUGUUUUCAAUUUCAGAGCUGCAAGAUUUCUUUAGAAUGUGAAGACUAUGCUACCAAAAAAACUUUUCUAAUUUAUGUAGGAUGAAGUUCAGGAUUGUUUAGAAUGAGUCAUAUGUUUUAUCUAUCUUCAAUAAUAUUUGUACACGCAUAAAGUGGUGAUUAUUUUAUGUUGUGCUACUCUGUAUAUUGACUAUUUUAUUUGAAUGAGAAAUGGUUUGUCCAA